AGUGAACGCUGGCGGUAGGCCUAACACAUGCAAGUCGAACGGCAGCACAGUAAGAGCUUGCUCUUACGGGUGGCGAGUGGCGGACGGGUGAGGAAUACAUCGGAAUCUACUUUUUCGUGGGGGAUAACGUAGGGAAACUUACGCUAAUACCGCAUACGACCUACGGGUGAAAGCAGGGGAUCUUCGGACCUUGCGCGAUUGAAUGAGCCGAUGUCGGAUUAGCUAGUUGGCGGGGUAAAGGCCCACCAAGGCGACGAUCCGUAGCUGGUCUGAGAGGAUGAUCAGCCACACUGGAACUGAGACACGGUCCAGACUCCUACGGGAGGCAGCAGUGGGGAAGAUUGGACAAUGGGCGCAAGCCUGAUCCAGCCAUACCGCGUGGGUGAAGAAGGCCUUCGGGUUGUAAAGCCCUUUGUUGGGAAAGAAAAGCAGCAGGUUAAUACCCCGCUGUUCUGACGGUACCCAAAGAAUAAGCACCGGCUAACUUCGUG
This 491-nucleotide ribosomal RNA is filed under the name uncultured bacterium. RNAcentral describes it as "partial 16S ribosomal RNA". It matches the Rfam family "Bacterial small subunit ribosomal RNA", at positions 29 to 507 of the family's 1533-position model. The record is from RNAcentral.